This 28-nucleotide non-coding RNA is filed under the name Homo sapiens (human). Lineage: Eukaryota; Metazoa; Chordata; Mammalia; Primates; Hominidae. The record is from RNAcentral.
UAGGUACUCAGAAGUGACUAUGGUGAGA